Bos taurus (domestic cattle) is the source of this 890-nucleotide long non-coding RNA. NCBI's taxonomy places the organism in Eukaryota, Metazoa, Chordata, Mammalia, Artiodactyla, Bovidae. The record is from Ensembl.
UCUCUCCUUGAGAUACCCUCCUCAUUUGUCUUCCAUAGAAUUUAUAUAUUCUGCUUUUACCUGUUACCUCUGGCUGUUUCUUCUCCAUCUUUCAAAUCUGUAACCCCUAAAGCAGUGGUAAAGAAUCUGCCUGCCAAUCAGGAGGCACAAAAGAUGCAUGUUCAAUACCUUGGUGGGGAAGAUCCCCUGGAAGAGGGCAUGGCAACCCACUCCAGUAUUCUUACCUGGAGAAGAUAUUAAAAGAUAUUCUUGUCUGGAUUUUAUUUUCUCACAGUUCUGGAGCUUAGAAGCCCAAGAUCAAGGUGCUGGAAAAUUCUGUUUCUGGUGGUCCAGUGGCUAAGACUCCAUGCUCACAGUGUUGGUGGCACAGGUUCUAUCCCUGAUCAGGGAACUAGAUCGCACAUGCCAGAGCUAAAGAUCCUGCGUGCCACAAAAAAGAUGGAAGAUCCUGCAUGUGAGAAUUGGACUAUAAAGAAAGCUGAGCACUGAAGAAUUGAUGCUUUUGAACUGUGGUGUUGGAGAAAGACUCUUGAGAGUCCCUUGGACUGCAAGGAGAUCCAAGCACUCCAUCCUAAAGGAGAUUAGUCCUGAUUACUCAUUUUAAGGACUGAUGCUGAAGCUGAAACUCCAAUUCUUUGACCACCUGAUGCCAAGAACUGACUCAUUGAAAAGUUCCUGAUGCUGGGAAAAAUUGAAGGUGGGAGGAGAAGGAGACAACAGAGGAUGAGAUGGUUGGAUGGUAUCAUGGACGUGAUGGAUAUGAGUUUGAGCAAGCUCUGGGAGUUGGUGAUGGGCAGGGAAGCCUCACGUGCUGCAGUCCAUGGGGUCACAAAUAGUUGGACACGACUGAGUGACUGAACUGAACUGAACUGAACUGAGUCUUCUCUACU